RNAcentral lists this long non-coding RNA (286 nucleotides) under Lathyrus oleraceus (garden pea). RNAcentral's name for it is "Pisum sativum (pea) long non-coding RNA (PSAT_LNC013231)". Lineage: Eukaryota; Viridiplantae; Streptophyta; Magnoliopsida; Fabales; Fabaceae. The record is from RNAcentral.
AAGAAGGAAAAAAAAUUAGAUUGUAAGAAAAAUAACGAAAAGAAAAAAAGGGUGGGUUGUCUCCCACUAAGCACUUUGUUUAAUGUCGCAAGUUCGAAAGUAGUGUCGCGUUGUACUAGGUUUGGUGUUGAGCGGGCAGCUCUAUGAGUCUGAGACUGUUCGAAUAGUCUCUGUUUUCUAUAUUAUGAUAAUGUUUUAGGCGCUGCCCGUUUACGACAAAAGGGUCACUAUUUCUACCUUUUAUUUCUAUCGCACCACUAUUGAGAACUUUGGUGAUCUCAAAAGG